GCGUCCCCAAGUCAGGCGUGAUUACCCGCUGAGUUUAA
RNAcentral lists this ribosomal RNA (38 nucleotides) under Sciadopitys verticillata. RNAcentral describes it as "partial 26S ribosomal RNA". Lineage: Eukaryota; Viridiplantae; Streptophyta; Pinopsida; Cupressales; Sciadopityaceae. The record is from RNAcentral.